This 497-nucleotide ribosomal RNA is filed under the name uncultured bacterium. RNAcentral's name for it is "partial 16S ribosomal RNA". It matches the Rfam family "Bacterial small subunit ribosomal RNA", at positions 28 to 507 of the family's 1533-position model. The record is from RNAcentral.
GAUGAACGCUGGCGGCGUGCCUAAUACAUGCAAGUCGAGCGAACAGACGAGGAGCUUGCUCCUCUGACGUUAGCGGCGGACGGGUGAGUAAAACGUGGUUAACCGACCUAUAAGACUGGGAUAACUUCGGGAAACCGGAGCUAAUACCGGAUAAUAUAUUGAACCGCAUGGUUCAAUAGUGAAAGACGGUUUUGCUGUCACUUAUAGAUGGAUCCGCGCCGCAUUAGCUAGUUGGUAAGGUAACGGAUUACCAAGGCGACGAUGCGUAGCCGGCCUGAGAGGGUGAUCGGCCACACUGGAUGUGAGACACGGUCCAGACUCCUACGGGAGGCAGCAGUAGGGAAUCUUCCGCAAUGAGCGAAAGCCUGACGGAGCAACGCCGCGUGAGUGAUGAAGGUCUUCGGAUCGUAAAACUCUGUUAUUAGGGAAGAACAAAUGUGUAAGUAACUAUGCACGUCUUGACGGUACCUAAUCAGAGAGCCACGGCUAACUACGUG